This 253-nucleotide ribosomal RNA is filed under the name uncultured bacterium. RNAcentral describes it as "partial 16S ribosomal RNA". It matches the Rfam family "Bacterial small subunit ribosomal RNA", at positions 524 to 776 of the family's 1533-position model. The record is from RNAcentral.
UACGUAGGGUGCAAGCGUUGUCCGGAAUUAUUGGGCGUAAAGAGCUCGUAGGCGGUUUGUCGCGUCUGCUGUGAAAACUCGGGGCUUAACCCCGGGCCUGCAGUGGGUACGGGCAGACUAGAGUGCGGUAGGGGAGACUGGAAUUCCUGGUGUAGCGGUGAAAUGCGCAGAUAUCAGGAGGAACACCGGUGGCGAAGGCGGGUCUCUGGACCGUAACUGACGCUGAGACACGAAAGCGUGGGUAGCAAACAGG